Molecule: ribosomal RNA, 465 nt
Filed under: uncultured bacterium
Lineage: Bacteria
Description: partial 16S ribosomal RNA
Rfam family: Bacterial small subunit ribosomal RNA
Source: RNAcentral
GACGAACGCUGGCGGCGUGCUUAACACAUGCAAGUCGUACGGUAAGGCCCUUUCGGGGGUACACGCGUGGCGAACGGGUGAGUAACAAGUGCGUAAGCUGCCCACACCUUUGGGAUAAAGCAAGGAAACUGGUGCUAAUACUGGCUAUGUGCUCCUGCUGCAUGGUGGGGGUUGGAAAGCUCCGGGGGUUGUGGAUGGACUCGCGGCCUAUCAGCUUGUUGGUGGGGUAGUGGCCUACCAAGGCGGCGACGGGUAGCCGGCCUGGGAGGGUGACCGGCCACAAUGGGACUUGGAGACGGCCCCGGCGCCGACGGGGGGGAGCAGGGGGGAAUAUUGGACAAAGGGCGCGAACCCUAUGCAGCAACGCCGGGGGCGGGAAUACCGGCUUCGGGGUGGAAACCGCUUUCAGCAGGGACGAAGCUGUUUGUGACGGUACCUGCAAAAGAAGCACCGGCUAACUACGUG